RNAcentral lists this transfer RNA (68 nucleotides) under bovine gut metagenome. It matches the Rfam family "tRNA". Rfam says of the family: Transfer RNA (tRNA) molecules are approximately 80 nucleotides in length. Their secondary structure includes four short double-helical elements and three loops (D, anti-codon, and T loops). The record is from RNAcentral.
UGAUAUAGCUCAGUUGGUAGAGCCGAUGAUUUGUAAUCAGCAGGUCGUGGGUUCGAGUCCCUCUAUCA